Long non-coding RNA from Amphiprion ocellaris (clown anemonefish), 643 nucleotides. RefSeq lists it as uncharacterized. The transcript has 3 exons. The record is from RefSeq and is a predicted model, not a curated record. NCBI's taxonomy places the organism in Eukaryota, Metazoa, Chordata, Actinopteri, Pomacentridae.
GGAUGAAUGCUGCACUCUCCUUGGGUUGGCUGUGUUAUGCUCCUGUGACAUAAUGACCGUGCCUUGCUUUGACCAAUCAUGACACGAGGAUGCACUAUAAAGCUGGGCAAGGGUUACUCACUGUUCUCUUGCUGCAACGUCAGGGGCACGCCCCGCUUCCCGUUUGCCUCACUUCCUGUUUGCCUCACUUCCUGUUUACCAUUGCUAACAGGGUCACUGUUGGGUGUCCAUAGCCAGAGAGCUGAGCCGCUCGCUGGCUGCUGUAUGUCCAGUUCGAGCCGUGAGCCGCUCGCGAGCCGUUACUGAAGCUGUGGGCCUCCGGUGGUGGGGACUGGUGUCUUCGGGUGGUGGGAACCCCUUCCUCUGUGGUGCGCUGCUCAUCCCCUGGUUGUUUUUUUUAUUUCUUCACUCAGGUGUGUGUGUGUGUGUGCGUGCAUGUUCACGUGUGAGUGGGGUGAUUUCUCCUGGGCUCCCUUGUGAUGCCCGUUGGCCCAAACCUCCACCAGAGAGCCCCCAGCUCUGAUUAGUCCCCAAACCCGUCAUUUAACAAUCUCGUGUGAAUGGUUGUUUUUUUUCUUUUAUUGGUUUUAAACUGAGUAUUUUUAGUAUUAAAUAAAAUUUGUAUUUUUUGCCUGCACUGGAA